Pipistrellus kuhlii (Kuhl's pipistrelle) is the source of this 1056-nucleotide long non-coding RNA. RefSeq lists it as uncharacterized. The record is from RefSeq and is a predicted model, not a curated record. Lineage: Eukaryota; Metazoa; Chordata; Mammalia; Chiroptera; Vespertilionidae. The transcript has 3 exons.
GCGCAUCUCAGGAAAGGUAACUGUAGACCAUCUCACUGUUCCAAGGCUUGAAAACAUCCCCCUCUAAUUCCCCAGUGACGUUUUCCAUGGGCGAACACCAAGUGAGAAAACGAGUCCUGAGAGUCGGAACUUUGGACGACAGGAAAGCCUUGACGUCUCACCGCAUGCUUGCAUUUCUGGCUUUGGAAACGCGGAGAAGUGUUUUACCAUUGUGACAACUGAGGGCUGGUUUUCUGAUUGAACUGUACAGUCAGAUUAGCUGUUUGAGUCAGGAUGGCUAUAAGCGUGGCGUAAGCGUAAUGGUGAAAUGUUGCCAUCUUGGAAAAACAAAAUACUACAUAGAUGAGAAAUAAUAAUGGCUCCAUAUGAAUGUAUUCAGAAGUGUCACAUUCUGCUGAAGCUGCCGGUUCAAUUUUUCAACUAAGCAGUUGCAUGUGUUCUACUUAAGCCAGGCUUGGUGUGGAAUUUUUAAAGCUCUCACGAAUCCAUCAUCACACCUGAGGAUCCUAUGGUGACACCGAAGGGUUGUGAGAAUGACACUUCACUCCUGCUAAUGAAGAGGAAAAGCCUUUACAGACCAGGGAGGACUCCUGGAUUCUGCCUUUCCCACUCAGGGAAGCCAACUGACUGCUGAUUGGCAGAACUGGCCAGGAUCUUCUCUCCAGCUCAUGACCGGACCACUUACUGCUUUGGGGGCAUCAUGUUUCAUAGAAGUUUUCUCUUAACAGACAGAGUCGUGUCUGACCAUUCACCAUGGGCAUAUCUCACAGCCACAAUGACAAUCUUUUCAUCCAGGUAGGCGGAACUUAGCUACUGGAAACACUAUUUUCUGUCUCACUCCUGGGUAAAAUGUACUAAGCUACUGAGAGUGCCCUAAUCAUCUCACCAACACCCAGAAGAGACUGGCAGGAGAUGCUGCGCUGAUUUGCUAGGAAACUAUUGACCAACCCCUUACCACAGGUCAAGUACGGAGCUAAAUGCUUUCCAUAUUAGUACUUCUGAAAUAUAUAUAUUUUAUUGAUUUUUUUACAGGGAGGAAAGGAGAGAGAUAGAGAG